RNAcentral lists this ribosomal RNA (1346 nucleotides) under uncultured bacterium. RNAcentral's name for it is "partial 16S ribosomal RNA". It matches the Rfam family "Bacterial small subunit ribosomal RNA", at positions 28 to 1381 of the family's 1533-position model. The record is from RNAcentral.
GACGAACGCUGGCGGCGUGCUUAACACAUGCAAGUCGAACGGAAAGGCCCUGCUUUUGUGGGGUGCUCGAGUGGCGAACGGGUGAGUAACACGUGAGUAACCUGCCCUUGACUUUGGGAUAACUUCAGGAAACUGGGGCUAAUACCGGAUAGGAGCUCCUGCUGCAUGGUGGGGGUUGGAAAGUUUCGGCGGUUGGGGAUGGACUCGCGGCUUAUCAGCUUGUUGGUGGGGUAGUGGCUUACCAAGGCUUUGACGGGUAGCCGGCCUGAGAGGGUGACCAGCCACAUUGGGACUGAGAUACGGCCCAGACUCCUACGGGAGGCAGCAGUGGGGAAUAUUGCACAAUGGGCGGAAGCCUGAUGCAGCAACGCCGCGUGCGGGAUGACGGCCUUCGGGUUGUAAACCGCUUUCGCCUGUGACGAAGCGUGAGUGACGGUAAUGGGUAAAGAAGCACCGGCUAACUACGUGCCAGCAGCCGCGGUGAUACGUAGGGUGCGAGCGUUGUCCGGAUUUAUUGGGCGUAAAGGGCUCGUAGGUGGUUGAUCGCGUCGGAAGUGUAAUCUUGGGGCUUAACCCUGAGCGUGCUUUCGAUACGGGUUGACUUGAGGAAGGUAGGGGAGAAUGGAAUUCCUGGUGGAGCGGUGGAAUGCGCAGAUAUCAGGAGGAACACCAGUGGCGAAGGCGGUUCUCUGGGCCUUUCCUGACGCUGAGGAGCGAAAGCGUGGGGAGCGAACAGGCUUAGAUACCCUGGUAGUCCACGCUGUAAACGGUGGGUACUAGGUGUGGGGUCCAUUCCACGGGUUCCGUGCCGUAGCUAACGCUUUAAGUACCCCGCCUGGGGAGUACGGCCGCAAGGCUAAAACUCAAAGGAAUUGACGGGGCCCCGCACAAGCGGCGGAGCAUGCGGAUUAAUUCGAUGCAACGCGUAGAACCUUACCUGGGUUUGACAUGGAUCGGGAGUGCUCAGAGAUGGGUGUGCCUCUUUUGGGGUCGGUUCACAGGUGGUGCAUGGCUGUCGUCAGCUCGUGUCGUGAGAUGUUGGGUUAAGUCCCGCAACGAGCGCAACCCUUGUUCACUGUUGCCAGCACGUUAUGGUGGGGACUCAGUGGAGACCGCCGGGGUCAACUCGGAGGAAGGUGGGGAUGACGUCAAGUCAUCAUGCCCCUUAUGUCCAGGGCUUCACGCAUGCUACAAUGGCUGGUACAGAGAGUGGCGAGCCUGUGAGGGUGAGCGAAUCUCGGAAAGCCGGUCUCAGUUCGGAUUGAGGUCUGCAACUCGACCUCAUGAAGUCGGAGUCGCUAGUAAUCGCAGAUCAGCAACGCUGCGGUGAAUACGUUCCCGGGGCU